UCACUAGUCGAGUGACCCUGCGCCGAAAAUGUACCGGGGCUAAGCCUGAUACCGAAACUGCGGAUUGUAGGAAACUAUAGUGGUAGGGGAGCGUUGUAUACGAGCAGAAGCCGUACCGUGAGGAGCGGUGGAUUGUAUAGAAGUGAGAAUGCCGGUGUGAGUAGCGAGAUGUAGGUGAGAAUCCUACACACCGAAAGCCCAAGGAUUCCAGGGGAAGGUUCGUCCGCCCUGGGUAAGUCGGGACCUAACGCGAGGCCGAAAGGCGUAGUGGAUGGAAAGCAGGCGAAAGAUUCCUGCACCCGUAUAUGGAGCGAAGGAGUGACGGAGACGGAUAGUGUGACCCUCUUAAUGGAUUGAGGGCGAAGCGAAGCGGCUGGUUACCAGGCAAAUCCGGUAACCAUAAGGCUAGAGCGUGACAGGUAAGCGAAAUCUUCGGAAAGUAGCGAAGCACAUGAUGACGGCUUCCAGGAAAAGCUUCUGGCAAUGCAUAUGCGGCCCGUACCAAAACCGACACAGGUGGGCAGGGAGAGAAUCCCGAGGUGAGCGAGAGAACUGUUGCCAAGGAACUCGGCAAAAUGACUCCGUAAGUUAGCGAGAAGGAGUGCUUAAGCAAUUAAGCCGCAGUGAAGAGGCCCAAGCGACUGUUUAACUAAAACACAGCUCUCUGCGAAGUCGCAAGACGAAGUAUAGGGGGUGACACCUGCCCGGUGCUGGAAGGUUAAGAGGAUCUGUUAAGAGCGAUCUGAAGCAGUGAUCCGAAGCCCCAGUGAACGGCGGCCGUAACUAUAACGGUCCUAAGGUAGCGAAAUUCCUUGUCAGGUAAGUUCUGACCCGCACGAAAGGUGUAACGAUUUGGGCGCUGUCUCGGCAGCAGACUCGGUGAAAUCUUAGUACCUGUGAAAAUGCAGGUUACCCGCAACUAGACGGAAAGACCCCAUGGAGCUUUACUGCAGCCUGAUAUUGAAUUCUGGUCAUACAUGUACAGGAUAGGUGGGAGACAAAGAGACGUGCACGCCAGUGUACGAGGAGUCGACGUUGGGAUACCACUCUUGUGUGACCGGGGUUCUAACCUGGUAUCGAGAACAGGUACGGGGAGAGUGUCAGGUGGGCAGUUUGACUGGGGCGGUCGCCUCCCAAAGAGUAACGGAGGCGCCCAAAGGUACGCUCAGAUUGGAUGGAAACCAAUCGUCGAGUGCAAUUGCAGAAGCGUGCUUGACUGUGAGACAGACAAGUCGAACAGGGACGAAAGUCGGGAAUAGUGAUCCGGCGGUGCCGAAUGGAAGGGCCGUCGCUCAACGGAUAAAAGCUACCCUGGGGAUAACAGGC
Molecule: ribosomal RNA, 1326 nt
Filed under: human gut metagenome
Description: bacterial LSU rRNA
Rfam family: Bacterial large subunit ribosomal RNA
Source: RNAcentral